Molecule: transfer RNA, 77 nt
Filed under: Candidatus Endomicrobium macrotermitis
Lineage: Bacteria; Pseudomonadati; Elusimicrobiota; Endomicrobiia; Endomicrobiales; Endomicrobiaceae
Also listed under: 1 other name
Description: tRNA-His
Rfam family: tRNA
About the family: Transfer RNA (tRNA) molecules are approximately 80 nucleotides in length. Their secondary structure includes four short double-helical elements and three loops (D, anti-codon, and T loops). Further hydrogen bonds mediate the characteristic L-shaped molecular structure. tRNAs have two regions of fundamental functional importance: the anti-codon, which is responsible for specific mRNA codon recognition, and the 3' end, to which the tRNAs corresponding amino acid is attached (by aminoacyl-tRNA synthetases). tRNAs cope with the degeneracy of the genetic code in two manners: having more than one tRNA (with a specific anti-codon) for a particular amino acid; and 'wobble' base-pairing, i.e. permitting non-standard base-pairing at the 3rd anti-codon position.
Source: RNAcentral
GUGGGCGUAGCUCAACUGGUUAGAGCGUCGGUUUGUGGAGCCGAAGGCUGCGAGUUCAAGUCUCGUCGUCCACCCCA